Molecule: ribosomal RNA, 800 nt
Filed under: Kocuria rhizophila
Lineage: Bacteria; Bacillati; Actinomycetota; Actinomycetes; Micrococcales; Micrococcaceae
Description: bacterial SSU rRNA
Rfam family: Bacterial small subunit ribosomal RNA
Source: RNAcentral
CCUUGCGCCGCUUACCAUGCAGUCGAACGCUGAAGCUUGGUGCUUGCACUGGGUGGAUGAGUGGCGAACGGGUGAGUAAUACGUGAGUAACCUGCCCUUGACUCUGGGAUAAGCCUGGGAAACUGGGUCUAAUACUGGAUACGACGGCGCAUCGCAUGGUGUGUUGUGGAAAGGGUUUUACUGGUUUUGGAUGGGCUCACGGCCUAUCAGCUUGUUGGUGGGGUAAUGGCUCACCAAGGCGACGACGGGUAGCCGGCCUGAGAGGGUGACCGGCCACACUGGGACUGAGACACGGCCCAGACUCCUACGGGAGGCAGCAGUGGGGAAUAUUGCACAAUGGGCGGAAGCCUGAUGCAGCGACGCCGCGUGAGGGAUGACGGCCUUCGGGUUGUAAACCUCUUUCAGCACGGAAGAAGCGAGAGUGACGGUACGUGCAGAAGAAGCGCCGGCUAACUACGUGCCAGCAGCCGCGGUAAUACGUAGGGCGCAAGCGUUGUCCGGAAUUAUUGGGCGUAAAGAGCUCGUAGGCGGUUUGUCGCGUCUGCUGUGAAAGCCCGGGGCUUAACCCCGGGUGUGCAGUGGGUACGGGCAGACUUGAGUGCAGUAGGGGAGACUGGAAUUCCUGGUGUAGCGGUGAAAUGCGCAGAUAUCAGGAGGAACACCGAUGGCGAAGGCAGGUCUCUGGGCUGUUACUGACGCUGAGGAGCGAAAGCAUGGGGAGCGAACAGGAUUAGAUACCCUGGUAGUCCAUGCCGUAAACGUUGGGCACUAGGUGUGGGGAACAUUCCACGUUUUCCGCG